AUGGUGUCUGUCACACAACAGGUCCUCAGUCAAUGUCUGUGGGACAAACGGAGUAGCCAGAUGACAGUCGCUGGAGUCGCAAGGGACACACAGUGGCCCCUUGGCAAGGGACAAGGAUCUUACCUGUGGGCAGUAACCUGGAAGGGGACCAGGAUCCAAUCGAGGACACCACACAGCAUUUAGUCAAAUAUAUGUUGUAACUUUUUAUUUUGAAAUAACCAUAGAUUUACAGAAUAUUGCAAAAAAAAAAAAUACAGACAUCCUAUGUACUUUUGAGUCAGUUUCUCUCAGUAAGUGUAGGACAAUACUGAAACUAGGAAAUGGAUAUCACUGAUCCACAGAGCUUAUUAAAUAUACAGGCUGACAUAUAUUUUUUUUUUAAGUGAUUUUUUUGGUUUUUUGGCCUCACGUCAUGUCACGCGGGAUCCGAGUUCCCUGACCAUGAUCAAACCUGCACCUCCAGCCUUGGAAGCACGGAGCUUAGCCACUGGACCACCAGAGAAAUACCUGCCUAUACAUUUUAACCAAAUAUAUGUUUCAACCUCUACUUUGCCUCAGUCAAGAAGAACAGAUACUUUCCCAAAAACAUAAAACUUUGGAAUAAUUUUAGAUUUACUGAAAAGUUGCAAAGAGAAUUCCCUCAUACCUUUCACUCAGUUUCCUCUAAAUGUUAACAUUUUACACAACCAUUAUCAAAACUUAGAAAUUAACACUGGUAAAUGUUAAAAGAUCUUUCUAGGGUUUCACCAGUUUCUGUACUCAUGUCUUUCUUCUAUUCCAGGAUCCAAUCGAGGACACCACACAGCAUUUAGUCAAAUAUAUGUUGUAACUUUUUAUUUUGAAAUAACCAUAGAUUUACAGAAUAUUGCAAAAAAAAAAAAUACAGAGACAUCCUAUGUACUUUUGAGUCAGUUUCUCUCAGUAACUGUAGGACAAUACUGAAACUAGGAAAUGGAUAUCACUGAUCCACAGAGCUUAUUAAAUAUACAGGCUGACAUAUAUAUUUUUUUUUAAGUGAUUUUUUUGGUUUUUUGGUUUUUUGGCCUCACGUCAUGUCACGCGGGAUCCGAGUUCCCUGACCAUGAUCAAACCUGCACCUCCAGCCUUGGAAGCACGGAGCUUAGCCACUGGACCACCAGAGAAAUACCUGCCUAUACAUUUUAACCAAAUAUAUGUUUCAACCUCUACUUUGCCUCAGUCAAGAAGAACAGAUACUUUCCCCAAAAAACAUAAAACUUGCAUUUAACUCUACCUGCCUCCAAACUUAAGUCCAGUCAUGAAGUUCUUGGUCCCUCUCUCCAACCCACCAGCUAUAAACUAGGAUUUGCCCAUUCAUUCCCAAAGAAGAAGUGCACUCUGCCCCAGGGCCAGACAUGCUCAACUUAAGGACCCUGAACUCCCCAAAUUCAAGGCCAAUGUGCAUGCGUGCAUGUGUGUGUGCGUGCACGCAGGUAUGUUAGUAUGGGUGAGAGAGACAGACAGAGACAGGGAAGUAGCCCUCUUUACCAGUCUAUUUUAAACUCACUCCUGUGAAGCCAACACCACCCCCUCACGUCUCCACAGGAGAGGAGAUAAAGAGCUAGAUGAAUAUCCAAGUACAUGUCUUCUGUCACCAUCAGAUAUAAAGAUGACAGAAAUAUUCUAUCCAUCCGUUCUAAAGACUGCAGGAGUAAAUUCAACUGCCAUGAAGAUAUCAGUUUUAUCCGAGACCCAAACGGAACCAGAGACAACCUGAUCUUUGUUUCCUGAAUGAUCAUCCAGGGAUGUCUACAGGUGACCUCUAUCUGAGACAGGUCACAGAUAAGUGACCUCUAUGUGAGAAACAGAUCAUGUUUCUGUGCUGACAUAACUGUGCAUGUUUUAGUCGCUAAGUCGUGUCCGACUGACUCUUUGUGACCCCAUGGACUGUAGCCCGCCAAGCUCCCCUGUCCGUGGAAUUCUUCAGGCAAGAAUACUGGAGUAGGUUGCCUGAUUCCCUUCUCCAGGGGAUCUUCCCGACCCAGGGAUCAGACCCAGGUAUCCUAUACUUUCUGCGGAUUCAUUACCAUUGGGCCACCAAGGAUGCUCCUUGCCGGCAUAACUAAAAGCAAAGCUAGACAGGAAAAGGCUACUUUGCAAAUGAUUUUACCUGAACUCAAAUUAACAGUCUAGUUAAAUCAUAAUCCAAACCUGUGGUCCCUUUGGGCUUCCUUGGUGGCUCACACGGUAAAGAAUCCAUCUGCAACGCAGGAGACCUUGGUUUGAUCCUUAGGUCGGGAAGAUCCCCUGGAGAAGGGAAUGCAACCCACUCCAGUACUCUUGCCUGGAGAAUUCCAUGGACAGAGGAGUCUGGUCCCUUUAUUUGAGAAGUUCAAGCCCCCAAAUCAGUUGGUGGUUGGAGAAGGCAGAGGCAUUUUUUACUUCAGCCUAAAACUGGGGGAAAAAAUGUAAAGACUUCGGCUUACAAUCGAUCCCAAAUGCUGUCUCGGUCAGAACUCCCGUGAGGGCUCUGGGCUGGCUCUGUCACUGCAGCCGGCAUCCCAGGCACGCAGUGACCCUGCUGCAGCCCACACAGGCUCUGGGGAGCAGAGAGGAACUGCGGCCAGGCGGCCACAGGCAUGGCCAGUGCAGUGUGCAUGACAAAGGAUCCUCUCUGAAGCCAGCCCACUGAGCAGAGGAGGACCGGACCAUUCCCACGGGAACAGAUCUGGCUGCCUGCUUUGCUUUCCAGCAAUCAGAAAAAGGGGACUGGCUUAGCCUGGAGGAGGGGCUAUCAGGCAGAGUGAGUCAAGGCCAAGGUUCAAUUUCAAAUCCCAGAAAACCCUAAGGCUCUUCUGACUCUUACAAAGUGGUCAGAAUGGAAAUAGUCUCCUCUCCCUUCCAGAGUUUAGAAGCACAAAGACAAGACGGAGCUAAGAGAUGGGGUCCAGUUGGGUGGGCAUGAGCAGGGGAGGGGCCCUGGGCAGUGGCUGGAAGGGGAGCAGCAGAUGACACGCAGAGGUUGCAGGAGGGCCGGUCACAGUAGGUGCUGUCCUCAGACUGCAUCAACAGUACCCAUCGCUUCAUAGACCCUGGAAGCUUGUCUUACUUUAGUCACUGGGGUCAGAGGAGUCAGCCACUGGCACAUGGCUUUGCCUCUGGGAUUCGGGUGAAUUCCUAUAAGCAAAGCUAGACAGGAAAAGGCUACUUUGCAAAUGAUUUUACCUGAACUCAAAUUAACAGUCUAGUUAAAUCAUAAUCCAAACCUGUGGUCCCUUUGGGCUUCCUUGGUGGCUCACACGGUAAAGAAUCCAUCUGCAACGCAGGAGACCUUGGUUUGAUCCUUAGGUCGGGAAGAUCCCUGGAGAAGGAAUGCAACCCACUCCAGUACUCUUGCCUGGAGAAUUCCAUGGACAGAGGAGUCUGGUCCCUUUAUUUGAGAAGUUCAAGCCCCAAAUCAGUUGGUGGUUGGAGAAGGCAGAGGCAUUUUUACUUCAGCCUAAAACUGGGGAAAAAUGUAAAGACUUCGACUUACAAUCG
This is a long non-coding RNA of Bos grunniens (domestic yak), 3498 nucleotides long. Lineage: Eukaryota; Metazoa; Chordata; Mammalia; Artiodactyla; Bovidae. The record is from Ensembl.